This 2172-nucleotide long non-coding RNA is filed under the name Trifolium pratense (red clover). RNAcentral's name for it is "long non-coding RNA (TPRA_LNC000897)". Lineage: Eukaryota; Viridiplantae; Streptophyta; Magnoliopsida; Fabales; Fabaceae. The record is from RNAcentral.
CCCAGCUAAUUUAUCUAGAAUAUUAGCCAAGACAUAAAUAAAAGGAUCGAGAUACAUUAAAAUUUCUGAAUUAAACUCGUUGUAUAUACCCAUAAAACAUAAAAGCCUUGUCAUUAUACAAGUAUUGACUAAACUGAAUGAUAACAUUCCUGUCAUAAUGUAACUUAAAACAUACAUCAGAGCCAUAAAUAACCAGUCAAUACAUAUAUACUAUGACACUAACUUAUACAACAGCUUAAUAGAAUAUCCAGAUAAACAAUGACAAUAACAUCCAACGCCACUUCACUUCUUCCAGUCCGUAGCUCUCUACACCGCAACCUGUUUAUCUGUAUCAAAAGGGAGUGGGGUGAGACAGUCACUUCGUCUCAAUGGAUUCCUCGCUACCCAUCUAGGUGCAACUAUCUCUUACGAACCAUUUUGGAAUCGAUCGUUAAUUCAUUACAUUCAUAAGAACAGCUUAAACAUAAUAAUAAUUCUCUUAAUAGAAACUAAAUAUGUAUCACACAAUAGUUAUCUUGAUUCAUUUUACAGGAAGCUUCCGAGGUGAGUAUAUCUCGAAAGAUCCACUAAGGAUGUACUCCUCUUAGGAUGUUCUCCACUUAGGAUGUUCUCCACUACCCUUUGUGACAUAGCUAUGUCACGUUGGUCUUACUCACAUUUCUUAACUUAUUGAAUUCCUAAACAACAAAAUCCUCCACUAGCUUAUGCUAACGGUCAUAAUCUUAGAUUGUUUACCGUGGCAAUUCGGGAUCAAUUACCACACAAUCACUUAACCAAUUAUUAACCGGUUACUUUUAAUUAACUUAACCCACAACCCGGGGGAACCUACGCAUCUCUAUGUUCUCAAGAGUAACGUUCACUUAUAACGCUACCAAGUUCUAAUUAUGCGACUUACUAAUUACACUUAAUCUAUUGGCGACAUUACCUACAUUAUAGCAACUCUUGGAUACGAAAUGUUCUUGGGUAAAAAUAUAUGUAUCAGCUCCAAGUCGCUGCUACAAUAUAGAACAAUGAUUAAACAUAAUAAUAGGAAGUAUAACAUGUUAACUUCUUCGCUACACCAAGCCUAUAUCCAGUCAUCGAUAUUUUACCUACAUUAUGAUAUUGUGCUAAGAUUUAGGAAUUUAGUUACAAAUGUUUGUCAUCCUUAACACGUUAUCUCAAUGUAAAACGAUAAUCAAACAUGAUCUCAGUGUAUCAAAGUAUAGGGGAAAAUAGGUUAUUCCUAGUCCAAUUCCAGCCUAGUUUUGUCCCAAUUUCUCAAGACCCAUAAUUAUACUUACAAGGUACUUAUCACAUUUUAAUUGGAAAUAAAUCAUACUCUUUUGAUUAAGGAAAUUACUUAUGUGAAGAACCCACCCGGAGUUGAGUUAAACUCAGAAGCUCUAAACACAGUGCUCACGACAUCUUUGGAGCUAGCCGAAAAAUCGAAUUUGCAGCAAAGUACUUUAAAUACAUAACAUAAUUUCUGCAUAAUUUCCAUAUCAGAUCCUCAACUUCAAACUGGUCUCCCGAAUUCAUUACUGCUCUACAAUUCAUGAAACUGGCGUCAAAUCGACGGAAAUUUCGUUAGCUAACCACAGAAUCAAUCGGCAUCUCAAUUGGAGUUACGAGGAGUGAAAAAUUACCUUUUUAGUGAGGGUAUAUCCAGGAAUACGAGUUUCAGUAGAUUAAUCCAAUUUCUCUUGUUUUCUUCAACAACUACCAUGGUGAAAUUGUUCAAUGCUUUACAUGCAGUCCAAAAUACAUAACACAAGAGAAGUGAGUUCCAUGAUUAAGAUAAUGAUGACACGAUUCAGAUUGGAAUGAGAGACAAGGGGAGAUUUCUUACCUUGCUACCUAUGUUCCUUUCUUCACAACCCCAUUCAACAUGAUCACUUAACAACUCAAUUCCAACUAGAACUUCAACUUGCAAGGUCUGAAUUUUGAGGGAUUUGAGAAGGAAGACUUCAAGGGCUGAGUACUCACACAAAGGGAAAGAGGAAGAAUUGAAAUUGGAGGUUGCUACUUAAGUGCUUAAUGGUCAUGGAGUGGGUAGAACUUAUGCAUGCAUCCUAAAUAGAGAUUUUACCCACAUGCAUGUGUGGAUGAAGAACUUGAAGAAUGGAGAGUGGACUGAUGUUGUUCUGCGCAGAGAACAGAGAAAAUGAAAGGACUAAAAUCGGAUUUCUC